Leptinotarsa decemlineata (Colorado potato beetle) is the source of this 562-nucleotide long non-coding RNA. The record is from RefSeq and is a predicted model, not a curated record. Lineage: Eukaryota; Metazoa; Arthropoda; Insecta; Coleoptera; Chrysomelidae.
GACAGACAAUGACUUUACUGUCAUAACUCGAGGAAGCAUUCAUAUUCAUCCUGAAUCAAUCUGAAAUAUAUCAUUACAUAAUUUAAAAAAUCUGUUGUCUUCAAAUCGUCACUUUCAGUCGUUUCAGCAUUUCAGUCUAGUAACAAAGAGACUCAAUUUCGCUAUUAACCUAACGUCAACAAUGGCAACAGGAAAAAUUAUAUUGAGUAAUUUGAAGAGGAUCAGACAUUUUUCUUCUUUGAAACGUAAUUUUACUCUGGGAAAAAUUAUAUAUACUCCAAAGAAUAUCUCUAAAGAAACGCCUGCAUUACCAAACGUACCAGGCCUUUCUGAAGCCUGCCUCAAAGUUCCCGCAGGUCCAGUAGGCCCUGGAGCUGCGAAGAAUUCUGGAUACAAAAAUCCUGAAUAUUUCAGUUAUGACAAGACCAGUUAUUUUGAAGCGGAAAUAGAAAUGUUGAAAUACAGAUGCCCGCAGCCUUCUUCGGAUACCCCUUACUAUCCCAGUUCAAAAUAAGGCAUGGAUGUCAGAAUGAUGUAAAUAAAGCUUAGAUAUUAAUUAUAA